Molecule: ribosomal RNA, 494 nt
Filed under: uncultured bacterium
Lineage: Bacteria
Description: partial 16S ribosomal RNA
Rfam family: Bacterial small subunit ribosomal RNA
Source: RNAcentral
GACGAACGCUGGCGGUGUGCUUAACACAUGCAAGUCGAACGGAAAGGCCUGCUUUCCCUUGUGGAUUGCGGGUGCUCGAGUGGCGAACGGGUGAGUAACACGUGAGUGAUCUGCCCCCAACUUGGGUAUAAGCCUGGGAAACUGGGUCUAAUUCCCGAUAGGACUGCAGGGUGGUGCCUGUGGUGGAAAACGAUUUUCUAGUGGUUGGGGAUGAGCUCGCGGCCUAUCAGCUUGUUGGUGGGGUAAUGGCCUACCAAGGCGGCGACGGGUAGCCGGCCUGAGAGGGUGGACGGCCACAUUGGGACUGAGAUACGGCCCAGACUCCUACGGGAGGCAGCAGUGGGGAAUAUUGCACAAUGGGCGGAAGCCUGAUGCAGCGACGCCGCGUGGGGGAUGACGGCCUUCGGGUGGUAAACUCCUUUCGACCGCGAGGAAGCCACCUGGUUGGAAGGGUGGUGACGGUAGUGGUAGAAGAAGCACCGGCUAACUACGUG